AUGAACGCUGGCGGCGUGCUUAACCCAUGCAAGUCGAACGAAGCACUUUAUUUGAUUUCCUUCGGGACUGAUUAUUUUUUGACUGAGUGGCGGACGGGUGAGUAACGCGUGGGUAACCUGCCUUGUACAGGGGGGUAACAGGUGGAAACGGCUGCUAAUAACGCAUAAGCGCACGGCCUCGCAUGAUGCAGGGUGAAAAACUCCGGUGGUAUAAGAUGGACCCGCGUUGGAUUAGCUAGUUGGUGAGGUAACGGCCCACCAAGGCGACGAUCCAUAGCCGACCUGAGAGGGUGACCGGCCACAUUGGGACUGAGACACGGCCCAAACUCCUACGGGAGGCAGCAGUGGGGAAUAUUGCACAAUGGGCGAAAGCCUGAUGCAGCGACGCCGCGUGAGCGAAGAAGUAUUUCGGUAUGUAAAGCUCUAUCAGCAGGGAAGAUAAUGACGGUACCUGACUAAGAAGCACCGGCUAAAUACGUG
Molecule: ribosomal RNA, 480 nt
Filed under: uncultured bacterium
Lineage: Bacteria
Description: partial 16S ribosomal RNA
Rfam family: Bacterial small subunit ribosomal RNA
Source: RNAcentral